This is a long non-coding RNA of Oncorhynchus tshawytscha (Chinook salmon), 2039 nucleotides long. The record is from Ensembl. Lineage: Eukaryota; Metazoa; Chordata; Actinopteri; Salmoniformes; Salmonidae.
UGUCAGAUUCAGAAAUGUCCCGAUGUGCCCGGAUCUCUCCACUGUGGAGACCAAUAGUGAAAAGUCCCGGAUCAGUCGAUUUCACGAUGUGAUAUGAAAGCCACGCGUUUUGUCCAGAGUCAGCAUCCACAGCUAUCACCUUGGAAACCAGGGACCCUGCCAGAGCAGCUUUGGGGACCAUCUCAGUCAUCAAGGAGUUCCCUGCUGGAGCAGGGUAUAAUAUCUGGGGAGAGUUAUCAUUCUCAUCUGUUAUGAAGACACUCACAGUCACGUUACUGCUGAGUGGAGGAGAACCAUUGUCUCUGGCUACAACAUGGACCUUAAAGCUCCUAAACUGCUCAUAAUCAAAUGCUCUCACUGCGUGCAUCACUCCCGUGUCUCCGUUGAUGGAUAAAAAUGAGGACACCGGAACACCAUUAAUCUCACUGGGCCAUAGAGAAUAGACCACUGUACCGUUCUGUCUCCAGUCUGGGUCUCUGGCAGUAACAGAACACAUAGAGGAGCCAGGCUUGUUAUUUUCAGUCACAUAGGCGCUGUAGGGUUGUUCUUCAAACGCAGGAGGAUUGUCAUUCACGUCUGACACAGAUAAAUGAAUCGUCGUUGAGGAGGAUAAAGGUGGAGACCCCUCGUCAGUGGCAGUGAUAGUUAUGUUAUAAUCUGAUAUUUUCUCUCGGUCUAAUUCACGUGUUGUUACCAAAGAAUAAUAGUUUUUGAUUGAGGGGUUUAGUUUGAAAGGAACAUUUUGUUGAAUGGAGCAGCGGACCUGUCUAUUUCCCUCUGAAUCUUUAUCCUGUACAUUGAUGAUGCCCACCUCUGUUCCAGGUAACACGUUCUCGGGGAUGAGAUUGCUCAGUGAUUUAAUGAAUAUCGCUGGUGCGUUAUCAUUUAUAUCGGUUAUAUCUAUGAUUACUUUUGUGUUAGAUGCUAAACCUGACCCAUCUUUGGCUUGGACGCGCAUUUCAUAAUCUGUCCUCUCCUCAAAGUCCACAGGUCCGACGACUCUGAUUACACCAGUCCCUUUGUCUAUAGAAAACACCGUCGAUGCUUUUUCAGAUAUACUACUGAAGUCAUACGUCACUUCCCCAUUUGCACCCUUAUCUGCGUCGGUGGCGCUGACAGUUACCACUACAGAAUGUAAAGGGGGGUUUUCUGUCAGACUGACUCUAUAAACGUCCUGGCUAAACACUGGGAUAUUAUCGUUAGCAUCCAACACAGUGACGUGUAUAACUACAGUACCAGAUCUCUGCGGAGUCCCACCAUCAACAGCAGUAAGUAACAACGUCACCUCCUCUUGCUUUUCUCGAUCCAGCUCUUUUUCUAACACUAACUCACUGUAUUUCCCACCAUCACUAUUUGUAUGAACGGCCAAAACAAAAUGUUCAUUCCUGUCGAGCGUAUAGCUUUGCACGGUGUUUAAUCCUAUGUCCGAAUCAUGAGCUUCGUCUAAGGGAAAACGCUCCCCUUUGUCAGCCGAUUCCCUUAUUUCUAGAUUCAUGCGUUCAUUGGGGAAACGAGGUGAAUUGUCAUUUACGUCUUGAAUUUGCACAGUAAUACGAUGUAGCUCCAGAGGGUUUUCAAGCACAAGCUCAUAUUUUAGUGCACACGUAAGCUUCGACCCACACAGCUCCUCUCUAUCUAUUCUUUCAGUCACAAUAAGGUUGCCAGCCGCGAGGUUGAUGUCACAAUAACGUUGACUGAUGCCAUCCAUAUCCAACCGAGCUUUGCGAUCAGAGAAUCUCUUCGCAUCCAGCCCGAGAUCUUUGGCUAUAUUUCCAAUGACAAAUCCACGCUUCGCUUCCUCGGGAGCAGAGUAGCCCAUGUCUCCAUACGUGUUACGAGGGAGAACAAGAAAGAAAACCGAGGAGAAAACGAAGGCAGAGACCGAUAAUCGUGUAUCCAUCAUCAUCAACGUGGGAGCGGUCCUUUCCUUAAGAUGUUGAUUUACAGAAUUCGUUAUUCCAUUAAAAAAAAAUGUAGUCCAAGUUCCAAUAUUCUCUCCAAGCAAGGAUAUGUUGAAACUAGUCAAUGCUUUGUUUUUU